ACAGUACUUUGGGACAGGAUCGUCCAUUAGCAUGGGCCUGGCAUCCAUCUUGGGCAACACUCAGACCUGCUGCUACCUUGGCCAAAGGGAAGUGGGUGAUUAAGCAAUGGUCCAGAGAACUUAAGGAAAAUAUGCUCCAGCACUCCUGAAGAAACGAAGUUCACAAAAUUCAGAAGUCUGUCCCUGCAGGGAAUUUUACUUAUAAUGGCCUUCAUUCGGAAGACCUAAUUCUGCUCUCCUUUAGUGUGCACAUGGAAGAGGGAUGGAAGUGCACAAA
Long non-coding RNA from Talpa occidentalis (Iberian mole), 277 nucleotides. RefSeq lists it as uncharacterized. NCBI's taxonomy places the organism in Eukaryota, Metazoa, Chordata, Mammalia, Eulipotyphla, Talpidae. The record is from RefSeq and is a predicted model, not a curated record. The transcript is spliced from 3 exons.